GUCGAAGCCUCGGAUAUCAGAGGACCAUCACUACUGGUAGCAUCUCUGGCUGCUGCUGAUCUUGUUUUUGGAGUAAAACACGGUGGAAGCUGAAUUAGUGAGGAUGACUCCUGCUCCUGUCAUCUCUAAGCUCCUCACACAUCUUUACCUGCACAUGAGGAAAAUCACUCCUGUAGAAUGCAGAUGUUCAGAGGGAGAUGAUGCCACAUCUGGUCCAGCUGAUGGAAGGUCUUGAAGUUCUCUGACUGGCCUCGACUGAAGAUGGUCGUCCCACUGGAUUUAAGGUUCAGAUGCUCAGUAACAAACUCCACCAAUGUGCCAACAGGGAAGCUUUAGGUUUAUUAAAUGUUGCUAUGAAGGUAUCACUGUUUUUCUUUGUGAAUGUAAUGUGCUCCAACUGAAACUUGAAUUAGAACUUAGAAGUAAAUCCUUCCAUCUGAAAGGAUUUAGUUGCAUUAAUAACCUCAUAACAUUCUAAUUUUUAUUCCAGUCUUGGUUGGAAAUAGAAUCUCUGUAUUGAUUCAGGUAAAAACUGAACUUCACAGCAUGUUGAAGCAAAACAACCAGAUGAAAACUGUGAUGGUGUUGGAUUGUCAGACCGUAAUGUUGCAGCUCAAAGCAGCUUUUCUAGCUCAGUUCAUUCUGACAUUCAGCUAUGAAUCAACACAGCAGAUGGUGAUCCAUGCUGUGGAAGUCUCACAUCUCCUGAUUUAAUGGAGCUGCUUUGCACUUUUUACACUGUUUAUUCACCAACACUUUAUUUAAUAAAAGUCCCAUCGAGUUUUUAUGAGGAUUGUGAUGUUUUAAUUUCUCUGUGAAUAACUGCAGUCUAAUGCAACAGCUGGAGUUGUAACAUCUGUCAUGAUAUUGAUCAUGAAAUAUUGAUCAGAAUACUUAUGGUCAGCAGUCAUCCCUUAAGUUUUAUAUUAAAAUCUUUACUUGUGUUGUGAACUUUGGUAAGAAGCAGAAACGUUAGCGUUGCCAUGGAUACAUGAGUGUUAAAUUCUGUCCAUGUUUCCAUUUUGGGAUAUGCAGUCCAGAUCCAGAAUGUGGAGGAAUUUAGUCUCACAAUCACAGACAACAAAUAUUAUCUGAAAGUCGGGUUAUUGUUGUUUAUCAGCACAAUACAAAAAGAUUAAUGUUAGAAAUAUUCCAGUUAAGACUCUAGAAUAUCAUGAUUUAUGUAAAUUUACCUCAAUAAUAUGAACGUUCAGGUUAAGAUUGUACAGUGAUAUUUAUUAUGUAAGUUUAGCUGAUUAAAGUUUAUGACUCUGCACUAAAAUAUUAUUUAAAUUGACAUCAUUAUUAUAAUAUUUAGGGUCAGACUCUACAGUAUUGAGAUUAAGAAAUCAAAUAUUCUAUAAAAUGUAAAUACGCUGAACUCAUUUGGAUAUAUUUAAGUGAGACUCUACAAUAUUAUUUGACACAAAUCUAUCUAAAUCAAAAUUUUAAUAAUUUUCACACCAAACAUUUACUGGACUGAUUUAAAUAUUAAAAUCACUCCUUUCUAAUCCUCUGCUGUACAUUCAAACCUGAGGCCUUAAAUAGAAACACACAAGUAUCUGAUUGAAGGAACUUCUGCAGAGUCCUGGUUCCAGAACAUGAUGAUAGAAUUAUAGACAAACUUUAACAAAAGCUGCCUGAGAGUUUACAGGUUUUUAUGUUGGAUUUCUUCAGGAAUUUAAUGAGAGUUAUCAGCAAAAAUCAAGUGUACAUUUGAUGAACUUAAUUUCCUAAAACAUCCAGAAUUGGAGCUCAUAUCUUUGACAGCUGUAAAGUUUCUGCUCCUUCAAAGUUCACAACACAAUGAAUGAAUUCCUAAAACACUCUCAAUGCUGGAGAGCGUUUGUGAUGCUGAAGCAGUGAUCAGUUUUUCUGUUUCUUCUCUGGAGAUGCACAAUGAGGGACGUCUGCAGAGACUGAGAAAGAGUCUCACCACAUCCUGACAUGAGGAAAAAGACUAUUGAAGACUACAAUGAGGAAAAAAAAAAAAAAAAAAGACUACAAUGAGAAAAACUAUCAGACAGCAGACAGCUGCAUUCAAGGUGAGCUCUGAACAUUUGAUCUGGAACAGGAAUUCAAUAACGGCAGCAUGAGCUUCAUUUCUGUCUGUAGCUGCUGAAUUCAUGGAUGAAUCAUCUGGCACUAGAGAAGAAGACCAUCAAACAUCCACGUCAGCUGAUGGAGGUCCAAGAGUCUCACGGAACAACCAACCUACAGAGUGAAGACCUCGAAUCUGAUUGGACAGCCUCCUAUUCAGCCACAUUUUAGGCUGUUAGAUUGUUCCAGAUAAGACAAGUACAAGAUUCUUCAGAGCCGUUCUACCACGAGCCUGACAGGAAGAACUCCAACAGCUACUGAAUGUUCCUGUGGUUCCCUCAAGGCUACAGGAGGAGCCCUACGAGGACGAGCCGGUCCACCUGAUGGCGGCCAGUCGCUGCGGUUCAAAGCCAACACCGACUACGUGGACUUCUACUGGACCACAUGGAGGCCUUCAAACCGGACCAACAAGUUCACAGACUCCCUGACUCGUGGGUCUGAGGACGCCGCCGAGCCUCGGUCCAGCUG
Amphiprion ocellaris (clown anemonefish) is the source of this 2568-nucleotide long non-coding RNA. RefSeq lists it as uncharacterized. The transcript is spliced from 4 exons. The record is from RefSeq and is a predicted model, not a curated record. Lineage: Eukaryota; Metazoa; Chordata; Actinopteri; Pomacentridae.